This 497-nucleotide ribosomal RNA is filed under the name uncultured bacterium. RNAcentral's name for it is "partial 16S ribosomal RNA". It matches the Rfam family "Bacterial small subunit ribosomal RNA", at positions 28 to 507 of the family's 1533-position model. The record is from RNAcentral.
GAUGAACGCUGGCGGCGUGCCUAAUACAUGCAAGUCGAGCGAACGGACGAGAAGCUUGCUUUUCUGAUGUUAGCGGCGGACGGGUGAGUAACACGUGGAUAACCUACCUAUAAGACUGGGAUAACUUCGGGAAACCGGAGCUAAUACCGGAUAAUAUUUUGAACCGCAUGGUUCAAAAGUGAAAGACGGUCUUGCUGUCACUUAUAGAUGGAUCCGCGCUGCAUUAGCUAGUUGGUAAGGUAACGGCUUACCAAGGCAACGAUGCAUAGCCGACCUGAGAGGGUGGUCCGCCACAAUGGAAAUUGAACACGGGCCCGAAUCCUACGGGAGGCCACAGUAGGGAAACUUCCGCAAUGGGCGAAAGCCUGACGGAGCAACGCCGCGUGAGUGAUGAAGGUCUUCGGAUCGGAAAACUCUGUUAUUAGGGAAGAACAUAUGUGUAAGUAACUGUGCACAUCUUGACGGUACCUAAUCAGAAAGCGACGGCUAACUACGUG